RNAcentral lists this ribosomal RNA (253 nucleotides) under uncultured bacterium. RNAcentral describes it as "partial 16S ribosomal RNA". It matches the Rfam family "Bacterial small subunit ribosomal RNA", at positions 524 to 776 of the family's 1533-position model. The record is from RNAcentral.
UACGAGGGGGGCGAGCGUUGUUCGGAAUUAUUGGGCGUAAAGGGUGCGUAGGCGGUUUGGUAAGUCUGAUGUGAAAUCUAUGGGCUCAACUCAUAGUCUGCAUCGGAAACUGCCGGGCUUGAGUUUGGGAGAGGUGAGUGGAAUUCCUGGUGUAGCGGUGAAAUGCGUAGAUAUCAGGAGGAACACCUGUGGCGAAAGCGGCUCACUGGACCAUAACUGACGCUGAUGCACGAAAGCUAGGGGAGCAAACAGG